This 254-nucleotide ribosomal RNA is filed under the name uncultured bacterium. RNAcentral's name for it is "partial 16S ribosomal RNA". It matches the Rfam family "Bacterial small subunit ribosomal RNA", at positions 524 to 776 of the family's 1533-position model. The record is from RNAcentral.
GACAGAGGGUGCAAACGUUUGUUCGGAAUUACUGGGCGUAAAGCGUGCGCAGACGGUUGCGUAAGUCAGAUGUGAAAGCCCCGGGCUCAACCUGGGAACUGCAUUCAAAACUGACGAGCUAGAGUAUGGUAGAGGGUGGUGGAAUUUCCUGUGUAGCGGUGAAAUGCGUAGAUAUCGUCUGGAACGCCGAAGGUGAAAACAGCUCGCUGGGGCUGUGCUGACGCUGAGACACGAAAGCCAGGGGAGCGAACGGG